Molecule: long non-coding RNA, 7284 nt
Organism: Rhineura floridana
Lineage: Eukaryota; Metazoa; Chordata; Lepidosauria; Squamata; Rhineuridae
Exons: 3
Source: RefSeq, a predicted model, not a curated record
UCAUGCACUGACUAGGUAGGGUUAACAAGGAAAAGAACCCGAUCUCACCGUCCAAUUGGAAAUUUCGGGGUCAUGUUAGUUAUAGUGUUUUUCGCCAGGGCGGAAAUGUGAGCGGCCAAUAAAAACCAAUAGAGGAAUUCAGGAUUUUAUGCACUCGUGCGGCCGCCCCAAAACAUCGCAGCUCUCACCUCCAUCCCGGAGAAGGAACAGUUUGUUUGCGGUUUUUUAAAAGGAGCAUAUGGAAACUGGAAGAUGAGACAGGCUCUCACAUUUUUUCUGUGUUCUUAAACUGUAAGCCACAAACCCCAACAUACAACGCGUCAAGGAUUUCCGGUCGUUAGCUCAGAAUGCUGGGAAUUGAAGUUUAAUAGAGAGUCCUGGUCUGGAUUGAUGUCCCUAUAGGAAGAGAUCGUUAGUAGAGUUCCUCUCUCUUCCUUCCCACCCACCCCUGCGAAAAGAGGUUACCUGCUAAAGGGGGAAUGUAGGACACUGGAAGUCAGAUCCUUUAGCUCAGCGUUGCCCACACGGACUGGCAGCGGAUCUCCAGGAUUUUAGCGGGACAUUCCUGGGCCUACCUGGCGGCACCAGAGACUAAACCUGGGACCUUCUUCAUGCAAAUCAGAUGCAUGCCCUUGCCGAAGGAAGCGGGAGAUGUUUUUUUUUACGUUCUCUGCAUCGUCACCAGAAAAAGUAGAAACUGAUCUGUAACAAAACUUUUCAGGGUGGAGUGCUCUGGUUCAGUGUUCCAGCCAGCUAUGUCCUCUUCCUAAAUAUUACCCCACCCUGCAAAAAGCCACAAAAACUUUUACUUUUUUUCUUUUUCUCCGUACAGAUAAUAUUACAUGGCACCAAUCGUGCUUAUUUCUCGUUGGGCUCCUCUCGCCACUCCCCUUUUUAGCGUUUUGGUCUGAAGCUGUUUCUUGUUUUGAGGUUCCCUCAAACUUACUGCUACCUCCCGCUUGUUUGGGGGCGCAGUUUUGGCUACAUAAAGAAAGGCACUCCGCGAAAAAGUGUGCUUGGAUUGGUCAGACCGCCCUGGGCUGGUUGCGGAGCAUUCUUGUUCAGUGUAACAAAAAAUUCUUGUGAGGGUUAAAUAUAACAACCUCAUGUACAGAUUUUUCCCCACCCACCCCAAAGGAUGGAGAAUAAUGGGAGCAGCUGCCUCAUAGUAUUAUGCGCUUCCCAGGUAAGAGAACGCCAACACAAGAUGCACCUUCCACUGUUGCAAUGGAAGACACCGAAACUGCCUUGGUUGCCCUGGUUGAUGACAUCUGCCAGGAGAGAGACAGGGGGAAUGUGACCCUGCUUGUUCUUCAUCUCUCUGUGGCUUUUGAUACUGUUGACCGUGGUAUCCUUCUAAAGCGCCUCAGGAAGGUUGGGGGCACUGUAGCUCUUCUCAUACCUCCAGGGCCACUUCCAAAAAGUAGUUAUGGGAGGCUACUGUUCAGCACCAUGGGAGCUGUCCUGUGGUGUUCUGCAGGGUCAGUCCUGUAGCCAGAGAAAAGCAAAUGUGGGCACUGCCCCCCUAGAGCUGUGGUUUGCCUCCCUAGGAUUUUGGGGGGGAAUUAACUUUUUAAUUUGUGACAUGACAGAUAAUGACAACCUCCAUUUAAAGAAUGAUAGGCUGUUUUAGCAGCAGGAGCAAUUUAAACCUUAAUCCAUACUGUUAAAAAAUCACACUUGCCUGACUUGGGGGUAUAUUUGAACCCCAAUUACAUUUCCAAUAAUAGGAUGUAUCCCCUCAUUUUUGGGGGGAGUCACCACAAGUGUGCUUGGCACUACCAAAGCACCUUAAGCCAAAAAACACUUAUUCAGAGGAGGUAAAUUUUUCUGAGCAGUAUACGUUGGCUCCUUCUCCAUGCAUAGUCAGUAAACUGGGCUAUUUUUGGAUGCCGGUGGGAUUUUUUGUUUUCAGAAGUAAAACGGUAAGUGGUAACUUGCUGAAAUUUGGGGACGUUGUACGGGUGACAGUUUGUGACAAUGUCCUUGAAGAACAACCCUGCCUACUCAUGUGUAAAUUACACAAGAGAAGGCAGAAGUUUGUCCCCAGGACUUCUAGGGUAUUUGGCCCCCGCUGGGUUUUUCCCCAGAAGGAAAUUGUAAGUGGUAACUGGCUGAAAUUUGCAACCUUGUACUGGCUAAAAGUUGUGACAGUGUCCUAUAAAGACAUCCCUGUAGGUCUACGUAUGUGUAAAUUACACAAAGAAAGUGCACCUUGAUCCAAAUGGGUCCCAGAGGGCAGGAUGAGAAUAGGACCCUCUGAAAAAUUCAAUGAAUAAGGCAGGGUGACCGCACAACAAAAGCUUCAUCUGGAAAAGCUCCCAAAAGUCUGCUCACCCAAUACUUUCCCUGACUAAGGGUGGAUUUCUCAUGAUCACAAUCGCCCUAUAACUACUUAAAUGAUCCUGGGAGGAACAAAACAGCCUGUAUAGUAACAUGAUCCUUGAAGAGUUAAAUAUUAGACCUUUGAAUGUAUUUAUUUAUUAGAUUUAUAUUCCGCCCUUCCUCCCAGUAGGAGCCCAGGUUAGUAUUAUGGGUUAGAGUUAGUCUCCGUGCCUUGGACUCUCCUUUGCUUUUCAGGUUUAGUUUAAAUUGUAUUCUCUAUCCAGCCAGCAAUAAAGAAACAUGUUUGCCUGCAGUAAAAAGUGUUUAUUCUGCAGUUAAUAUAAUGAGUACAGCAGGACUAGAUGCUUAUUGCUAAAGGAUGAAAUACCAUGAGAACAUAAAGUGAGCUGGAAAAAAUAGCUUCCAUAAGUUGCCCUUUACUCUUUCAAAGCACGCACUAUAUUCACAAUUAUGGUGGCUAUUUUUGUUUUUUUUCUUGAGUACUUGAUGGCAAAGGAUAAAAAUAGCCCUAGAGAGAUAGAAAUAUUGCUGUGUACACUACAGCUAGCUGGCUGGCCACCUAGGCUGUAACUCAAGGCUAAUUUCUGAUUUUCCCAAUACAUGCAGCUCAGCAUGAGGCCUUUUCAGGUUUCUGUACAGAAAAAUCAACCCAGCAACAGUAAAAAAAAAUAAAUCAAAAUUGCUUUCCACAGUUAGUUUCCAAGUGCUUAGUUAGCCCUUUAUAUAGCAGCCAGUUAAUAAGUUCUCCCUUGAUUGUUCAACAGGAAGGAAAAUCUAAAGGUCAGGAACAAGACUAGAAAGAGGGACUCUCGAGAAGGAAUAAAGGAACACACCCUAAAAUAUUUAUUUUCUCUCUGCCCUUCCCUAAACUUGUAGUAUGGACAAGUUUGUUUUCUGGGUGGAAUCUAAAACUGAGAUACCUAAUGCAGCAUCAAAGCCGAGCUUAGGAGCUUACUGUCAUUAGCAAAGAAGUUCAAUUCAUGAUGAAUCAGAACAUAAGGACAGACCACAAGUGAAAGAGGCUGUAACUACAGGCAAAGGCAAGCUUUUGAGUCUGGUAUUCCUGGCGAUCUCUCAAAAAAGGAUGAGACAAUUCAACAGAUUAAAUUUCAUUCAUGUAAGUUGACACUCUGGAUGAAGGAGUAGCGAGGGGGAAGAUUUCCCUUCCUCUGGUCUGACCCUCACGUCCUCCUCAGUUCCAUUUUGUCCCAACAUCUAUAUGAAGCCGCUGGGAGCUGCCAUUAGGAGAUUUGGUGUGAGACAUUAUCAAUACACAGAUGACACCCAAAUCCAUCUCCCUGUUCCAUUUGAAUUGGGAGAGGCAGUUGAGGUGCUGGACCGGUGUUUGAAGGUGGUGAGGGAUAGAUAUGGGUCUAUAAACUGAGGCUGAAUCCUGAAAAGAUAGAGGUGUUAUGUGUCCAGAAUUCUCAUAUGUGGAGGUGGGGGAUGGUCUGUUCUGGAUGGGAUUGCACUCCCCUUGAAGAAACAGGUUUGCAGAUUGGGGGUACUCUUUGAUCCAACAUUGUCACUGGAGGCCUCAGUAGCUAGAAGUGCUUUUUUCCAGCUCCAGCUAGUUCACCAGCUUCAGCCCCUUUUGACACAGAUGACUUGGCCACAGUACUCCACGCUCUGGUAACUUCCAGACUGGAUUAUUGUGAUGUGCUCUUUGUGGGGCUGCCCUUGCAGACAACUCAGAAUCUUCAACUGGUCCAAAAUGUAGUAGCCAGAUUACUGGCUGGGGUUCCCUUUAGAUCCCAUAUAACCCUUGUUUUAAAACAGCUGCAUUGGAUGUCAGUUAGUUUUUGGGUGUAAUUGAAGGUGCUCACGCUAGUGUUUAAAGACCUAAACUACUUAGAUCUUAAACAUCUGAAAGACUGCCUCCUUCUCUACAGACCCUCUCAGGUGUUGAGAUCAGCAGAGGGGGCCCUUUUGGUAGUUCUGCCACCCUCAGAAGUUCAGAUGGUGGCAGCCUGUUAAGUUGUGAAACUUCCUCCCUAUUGAGGUUCAUCUGGUAACUUCACUGACAAGUUUUAGGUGAAUGCUGAAGAUGCAUCUCUUUACCUUGACCGUUGACACCCGAGAUAUGUAUUUUUAGGACCCACCCUAUUUUGGGAUUUUAGGUUUGUUUGUUUGUUAAAUUAAUGUUGUAUUUUAAAGCUAUUGCAGCUUGCCCCAGGAUCUUUGGGUGAAGGGUGGGUAAUAGACAAUGCUGAUGCAGAUGCAGAAAUGGAGAAUCUGUGGGCCCUCUCUUGUUGAACUACAGCUUCCAUCCUCCAUGACCAUUGGCCAUAUUAGCUGAAGCUGAUGGGAGUCCAAGAACAUCUCCAGGGCCACAGAUUUCCCAUCCGUAUUGUAAGGACUGAAAAGAAAAAUAUAAAUUGUAGAAAUCCUAGACAUUUCUGCUGGAACAAUCUGCUGUGGGAGAUGUGGUAGCAUGUGUAGAUCAGCCAAUUCAUACAUUGCAUUCUUCAUGUUAUCACAGUUGGUUCCUGCCAUAUCACUUGAAGAUGGUUUGAAUGAAUGAACUGUCUCACUUCAAAUCCUGAGAAAUUAUUUGGGUCAUUGAACAAAUAUAGUAAAGUCCAGUCAUUUUUGUAAAAUUUUAAGGACUAGUUUAUAAAAUUUGUCUCCACACAAAGGACCCUGACCGUCCCCAGAUAAUUCAUAUGAAGAAUGCAAUAUGUGAAUCAAUCCAAUAAUGUGACUUUCAACAUGUGACUUAUUUACAUGGUCAUAUUUGCUGUACACAAAGUAUCCUCACAUUCCCAGAGAAAACAUUUAUGCAGAAAAUGUAAGGUAUGAACCCGUCUGGUUGUAGUAAUUUGACAGCCAUUUCACCAAUCAGAGCAGCUGGAGAAAAAAGUACUAAUGGGUUAGCUCAACCAUUAUAUUCUCUGAAUGAUUGUGGGUAUGUAUGCAUUUGUAGAUUGCUCUGGGUAGAUCAAACUGAGUCAAUUUUGACCAUGUCUCAGGGCUAACAUUAUUUAAUUUUUAUCCAGAAAUAUUAAGACUUUUAGAAUAUGACCUCGCUAGAAAGCAUGAAGAAAGGCUGAGGUAUCUACAAUUUCUCAUAUGUAACAAAUCAUCUUUCAAAGAAACACACGCUAGGAGAUACAAUAUUUUAUUUUGGCAUAAGCACUUGAAAAAGGUUAAGAGCAUUACACUGUUUUAUAAUUUCCAUGCGCAUACUAGUUAAUUAGAUGAAAUAAAGAACCCACAUAAGAACACUAACUGAUGCCUGGAACAUACCGCCUUAGGAAAUUUAUUAUUUACACAUGAAGUUGUUACAUAUUGGCUGCUUCUUAAAGUUAAUUUUUGAAUUAAGGAAAGGGGGCAGGCAGGGAACACAACUUAAAAUCUGAGUUUGUUAGUCAAAUACCCAACAAGCCCUUAACAAGAAAAAAUAAACAGAAAAAUUAAGGAUUUGCCUGUUGUAAGAUUACAGUGCUAGACACAUUUCUUUUGAAGUGAAAAGCAUGCUCAACCAAAACCAAAGGGACUGGUUUCCAAGAAAACAGUUAGGAUUUGAUUGCAAAUAAGCUUAUUAGAGCUCCAGAAACUGAAGGCAAAACUACAGCAUGUACGCAUCAUGGUAAACCAGAAUCUGCAGGUUAUAGUGAACAAGCGGUAUGCUAGUGCAUACUGCAUGAUCACUCCUGUCUUGCUCCUCCGCUAGCAUAAGCUAUAAACCAUGGUUUUUGGCUUACCAUGAUGCACGAACCUGGAACUGAUUUGUUUAGGGUGAAACAAACCAUGAUCCCAGUUUUGGACAUUACAGGAAGCCAAAGAUUGUGCUCUGUUGCUCCCAUUUGUGCAAGAGGAGGAGAGAAGCUGGAAUGAUCAAGCAGGGUGCACUAGCUGAUUGUGCACAAUAAGUUUAUGGUUUACCAUUAUGUGUGAAGGCAGCAGCCAACGUAAGAAACAUGGGACAAAACUGUUGAUGAAAAUGGUAGACUUUGUUGGAUGUUGUAUCUGGCGCAAGCAGGUGCCCAGGAUGCAGAACAGAAUAGUGACAGGCUAGAUUCCAGUUGAUGCAAUGAGCCAGACAAGUAAUAAGUUUUAAGAGUCACUUUACUGACAAUAGAAUAUAUCACAAGCUCUCUCUCUGUACAAACUCCUCGACCCCCACACCAACUGGCCAGAUCUGCCAAGUCUUAUAGAUAAGGCCAGCUGGUUGCCUUGGAUACUUGUCCUUGAGAUCUGCACGGACUCUGAGCGUCUUGGCCUUGUAACUCUGCCAUGGAAAAAAUACUCUCAGGAACCCUUUACUUGCCAACAGACUUGUAUCAAUUCUACCUCUCUCCCACAAAGUCUAGCACAGCCUACCUCAUGUUCUGACAUCAUCACACUGAUCAUUUUCCUGUCCCCAUUGCCAACGGUGUGGAGCCGAGGUGGGCAAAAGCAUAGCAUAAUGCUGUCAGGGCGUAAGGUAAGUUAUACUAGAUGUUACAGAAUGGGGGAACCCAGCAUAGGUCAUCAUUUUCUGUAGUUGCCUCUUGUUUUGUAUAAAGAGUUCUACUUAAAACUUCACCAUAUUUGCUCAUGGCAGCUUUGCCAUUUUUGGAAGUCUCCAGAUAUGUGUGACUGCUUUGCAGGCAUAGAGAUGAAGCUUUGUCAUUAAAUUUCUGAUGUUAUGCUGACAUGGAGAAAACAACUUUUUCCCCCCAGUCAAUCAUUUAUUGAAAAAUAUGGUUGCUCUAAGGGUUUCCCCCCAAAGGAAAGUUAUACUACACACAAAAAAAUACUGGAAUGUGUAAAUGAAUGUAUGCCUUGUCUAUGAGACAACUUUCCAUGAAAUAGUGGUUAGUGCUUGUUUUAAUCUGUAUAGAACAUGUUUUUGUUAAAGCAAAAAUUAUUUUCUGACUUCCUAUUUAGAAAAACAAAAAGUAUAUUUGAAAAGACAUAUUUCUGAAGGCAUGAAUAAUUUGCAUUCCAAAG